This 113-nucleotide ribosomal RNA is filed under the name Pteropus alecto (black flying fox). The record is from RNAcentral. Lineage: Eukaryota; Metazoa; Chordata; Mammalia; Chiroptera; Pteropodidae.
GUCUACAGCCAUCCUACCCUGAACACGCCCAGUCCCGUCCAGAAGCUAAGCAGGGUCGGGCCUGGUUAGUACUUGGAUGAGAGACCACCUAGGAAGACCAGAUGCUUUAGGUA